This 468-nucleotide ribosomal RNA is filed under the name uncultured bacterium. RNAcentral describes it as "partial 16S ribosomal RNA". It matches the Rfam family "Bacterial small subunit ribosomal RNA", at positions 28 to 507 of the family's 1533-position model. The record is from RNAcentral.
GACGAACGCUGGCGGCGUGCUUAACACAUGCAAGUCGAACGGAAAGGCCCUGCUUUUGUGGGGUGCUCGAGUGGCGAACGGGUGAGUAACACGUGAGUAACCUGCCCUUGACUUUGGGAUAACUUCAGGAAACUGGGGCUAAUACCGGAUAGGAGCUCCUGCUGCAUGGUGGGGGUUGGAAAGUUUCGGCGGUUGGGGAUGGACUCGCGGCUUAUCAGCUUGUCGGUGGGGUAGUGGCUUACCAAGGCUUUGACGGGUAGCCGGCCUGAGAGGGUGACCGGCCACAUUGGGACUGAGAUACGGCCCAGACUCCUACGGGAGGCAGCAGUGGGGAAUAUUGCACAAUGGGCGGAAGCCUGAUGCAGCAACGCCGCGUGCGGGAUGACGGCCUUCGGGUUGUAACCCGCUUUCGCCUGUGACGAAGCGUGAGUGACGGUAAUGGGUAAAGAAGCACCGGCUAACUACGUG